RNAcentral lists this ribosomal RNA (465 nucleotides) under uncultured Klebsiella sp. Its description in RNAcentral is "bacterial SSU rRNA". It matches the Rfam family "Bacterial small subunit ribosomal RNA", at positions 338 to 795 of the family's 1533-position model. The record is from RNAcentral. Lineage: Bacteria; Pseudomonadati; Pseudomonadota; Gammaproteobacteria; Enterobacterales; Enterobacteriaceae.
CCUACGGGUGGCUGCAGUGGGGAAUAUUGCACAAUGGGCGCAAGCCUGAUGCAGCCAUGCCGCGUGUGUGAAGAAGGCCGUCGGGUUGUAAAGCACUUUCAGCGGGGAGGAAGGCGUUAAGGUUAAUAACCUUGGCGAUUGACGUUACCCGCAGAAGAAGCACCGGCUAACUCCGUGCCAGCAGCCGCGGUAAUACGGAGGGUGCAAGCGUUAAUCGGAAUUACUGGGCGUAAAGCGCACGCAGGCGGUCUGUCAAGUCGGAUGUGAAAUCCCCGGGCUCAACCUGGGAACUGCAUUCGAAACUGGCAGGCUAGAGUCUUGUAGAGGGGGGUAGAAUUCCAGGUGUAGCGGUGAAAUGCGUAGAGAUCUGGAGGAAUACCGGUGGCGAAGGCGGCCCCCUGGACAAAGACUGACGCUCAGGUGCGAAAGCGUGGGGAGCAAACAGGAUUAGAUACCCCAGUAGUC